This 347-nucleotide unclassified non-coding RNA is filed under the name soil metagenome. RNAcentral's name for it is "partial contains 5.8S ribosomal RNA, internal transcribed spacer 2, and large subunit ribosomal RNA". The stretch from base 1 to 120 matches the Rfam family "5.8S ribosomal RNA", at positions 35 to 154 of the family's 154-position model. The record is from RNAcentral.
GAUGAAGAACGUAGUGAAAUGCGAUAAUUAAUGUGAAUUGCAGAAUUCAGUGAAUCAUCGAGUCUUUGAACGCACAUUGCGCCCCCUGGUAUUCCGGGGGGCAUGCCUGUCCGAGCGUCAUUGCUGCCCUCAAGCACGGCUUGUGUGUUGGGCUUCCGUCCCUGGCAACGGGGACGGGCCCAAAAGGCAGUGGCGGCACCAUGUCUGGUCCUCGAGCGUAUGGGGCUUUGUCACCCGCUCCCGUAGGUCCAGCUGGCAGCUAGCCUCGCAACCAAUCUUUUUAACCAGGUUGACCUCGGAUCAGGUAGGGAUACCCGCUGAACAUAAGCAUAUCAAGAAGCGGAGGA